RNAcentral lists this unclassified non-coding RNA (629 nucleotides) under Flavobacterium johnsoniae. Its description in RNAcentral is "partial 16S-23S ribosomal RNA intergenic spacer". The stretch from base 331 to 404 matches the Rfam family "tRNA". The record is from RNAcentral. Lineage: Bacteria; Pseudomonadati; Bacteroidota; Flavobacteriia; Flavobacteriales; Flavobacteriaceae.
GAGUGUUAGCAGUAAUGCACGCUUAGGAAAAAUGAUGAAAUUUAAAGGUUUUGAAUUUUAGAUUGUAUUACUCUUGCUGUUAAUUUAAAAAAAAUGAUAAAAAUUAAGUAAAACAGAGUCUCGUAGCUCAGCUGGUUAGAGUACUACACUGAUAAUGUAGGGGUCGGCAGUUCGAGUCUGCCCGGGACUACUUUUUAAGAAUUGACAAUUAAUACUUGUUAAUUGAUAAUUAAAAAGACUGAAAAGCUUAAAAAGAAGGAAAUUCUAGAGUUGAAAGAUUACGAAUUACAAAUAAUUCCUAAUUCAUAAUUCACAAUUCAUAAUUAGAUUGGGGGAUUAGCUCAGCUGGCUAGAGCGCCUGCCUUGCACGCAGGAGGUCAACGGUUCGACUCCGUUAUUCUCCACGAUUUUAGUCAUAAAGAUUAAAGUCAUAAAGUCCAAAGUGAUUCACUUGACGACUUUUGACUUUUGACUAGAUAAAGUUCAUUGACAUAUUGAGAUAAGAAAAUAAUAAGAAAGUAGAAAGCGUUUUUUACAAUUUUAUUGUAAAAAACAAAAAAAACGGUCUUGUUUUAAGUAACAAGAUUGGUACAAUAAGCAAAAUAAGGGCGUAUGGGGGGAUGCCUAGA